CUAACCAAAGGAAAAAAGUCACCAGAAACACCUAAAGCCGCCCCUAAGCGAGCAAAAAAGAAAGAGACCAAGGGGCAAGCUACCCUAACCUUAGAGGAACUGACCAUGAAAAGGGGAAUAAAAUCCUAAAAACCCAAAAAACAAACACAACCACAACAAAACAAAGGGCAAAGAAAAAUCAGGAACUCAUAAUAGGUUGUGAAGGAAAAGAGAAUAGAAGAGGAGGAAAAGAGGAACGUACCUUGAAGAAUAAACAAUUGAAUCCAAAAAAAUUAGAAAAAUGUCGCCGGAGUAGGGUCGGAACGGUCGUAGGAAUAAACGGGAAAAAUAAAACUCAGAGUAAAUGAUUAAAGUGAAGGAAAGGAAAGUUUUGAAACCAAGACCCAAGGAAACUGAAAAAUAGCGGGAAACCCAAGGAUCAUGCCAUUAACUCCAUCGAUCAGCACGCGCCACGUGGCCACAUUGCGUGUAGCGCCGCCACUAUACAUUAAAUUCGAAGCAGAACCCCAAGAGUCAUAGGCAGCUCAGGAAAACUUUUCGUCUUCUAUGGUCCUCAUGACACAUCAUAAACGACCACAGAACCUGGGGGCAACUAAUGGGAAUGACGAGAUUACGUCUCCUAGACGAAGCCAACACUCAUGACGAAGUCGUCCUGAACGACGAAGAAACCAGUCACCAUUGACAAAGAUAGGGAAAUCAUUCAAUAUAAUCAAUCGAUGACUUGGGCAGUUACAAAACCAGCCAGAUAGACUGUUGGGAACCUAUUAAAAGCCCCAUUAUUAGGCAGGAGGCGUCACUAAGAAAGGCAUUAACGACCACAACAGCUAGCAACCAAAGCCACAUAUAUAAAUCCCCCAUACUGUCAACAGAAGAGGCGUCAUGGUAGGCACCACACCGGUGACCAUCUCUGAGGAUACAUUCACACAGACCGAAGGUUGGUUCCAUCUGCCUACUUUGACUAACGAACUCAAGCUUCGUCAGUAAUUAUUUAAAUUCUCUUGAAUAUAUUUGAAUGCUCUUAAAUUUUCUUAUGUGUUCUUCACAUGUUCUUGGUUGUUCAUCACAUGUUUAUACAUAAACACUAGUUUUGAUCCUAAAUCCAUAUCAAAAAUAUGAAAAACAUGUUUAUUUCAUAAUUCUUUCAAAUCUUUGAAUCUAGGAUAUCACCAUACACACACAUUCACUAGAAUUUAUUUUUCAAUCCAAAUGCAAUGCUUAAAAUUGAAUUAGGGUCAUCACAUGCACGCACUUUAAAUUCAACAUGCAAAUUGAUUGAUAUCAUAUUGGAUGAUGUGAUAUGAAUAUUGGCCACUAUAGUCUAGAUGACCGGUUUUACCGGGCAAGGUAGGUGCUUAACACCUUCCCACCUUGUAACAUAGCCUCCGAGCUUAGAUCAAGGGUUAGUAGAUCAAAUGCUUAUCCAUGUAAUUUUCAAUUUCUAGAUUGUAACUAGGAAACAAAGCAAUAUACUUUAUCUUAGAUUGUAUCUAAGACCAAGCCGUGUAAUUUUCCAAGGAUCAAUGUAAAUUCAAUUUCAAAUUAAUAAAAUGAGGAAUUUUUCAAUUA
Long non-coding RNA from Quercus robur (English oak), 1566 nucleotides. RefSeq lists it as uncharacterized. The record is from RefSeq and is a predicted model, not a curated record. Lineage: Eukaryota; Viridiplantae; Streptophyta; Magnoliopsida; Fagales; Fagaceae. The transcript has 2 exons.